CCCUUAGAGUUUGAUCCUGGCUCAGGACGAACGCUGGCGGCGUGCUUAACACAUGCAAGUCGAACGGUGAAGCGGGUGCUUGCACUCGUGGAUCAGUGGCGAACGGGUGAGUAACACGUGAGUAACCUGCCCUCCACUCUGGGAUAAGCGCUGGAAACGGCGUCUAAUACUGGAUACGACCGACCCUCGCAUGGGGUGUUGGUGGAAAGAUUUAUCGGUGGUGGAUGGACUCGCGGCCUAUCAGCUUGUUGGUGGGGUAAUGGCCUACCAAGGCGACGACGGGUAGCCGGCCUGAGAGGGCGACCGGCCACACUGGGACUGAGACACGGCCCAGACUCCUACGGGAGGCAGCAGUGGGGAAUAUUGCACAAUGGGCGAAAGCCUGAUGCAGCGACGCCGCGUGAGGGAUGACGGCCUUCGGGUUGUAAACCUCUUCAGCAGGGAAGA
Molecule: ribosomal RNA, 447 nt
Filed under: Kytococcus sp. RKBH-B115
Lineage: Bacteria; Bacillati; Actinomycetota; Actinomycetes; Micrococcales; Kytococcaceae
Description: bacterial SSU rRNA
Rfam family: Bacterial small subunit ribosomal RNA
Source: RNAcentral